This 82-nucleotide transfer RNA is filed under the name Danio rerio (zebrafish). Its description in RNAcentral is "tRNA-Ser (CGA) (tRNA-Ser-CGA-13-1)". It matches the Rfam family "tRNA". Rfam says of the family: Transfer RNA (tRNA) molecules are approximately 80 nucleotides in length. The record is from Rfam by way of RNAcentral. Lineage: Eukaryota; Metazoa; Chordata; Actinopteri; Cypriniformes; Danionidae.
GUAGUUGUGGCCGAGUGGUUAAGGCGAUGGACUCGAAAUCCGUUGGGGUCUCCCCGCGCAGGUUCGAGUCCUGCCGACUACG